RNAcentral lists this ribosomal RNA (548 nucleotides) under uncultured Glomeromycotina. Its description in RNAcentral is "SSU rRNA". It matches the Rfam family "Eukaryotic small subunit ribosomal RNA", at positions 548 to 1098 of the family's 1831-position model. The record is from RNAcentral. Lineage: Eukaryota; Fungi; Glomeromycota.
UUGGAGGGCAAGUCUGGUGCCAGCAGCCGCGGUAAUUCCAGCUCCAAUAGCGUAUAUUAAAGUUGUUGCAGUUAAAAAGCUCGUAGUUGAAUUUCGGGAUCAGAUUGUUGGUCGUGCCUCGGUACGUACUGGCAUUAUUGGUUCCUACCUUCUGAAGAACCGCGAUGUCAUUAAUUUGGUGUCGUGGGGAAUCAGGACUGUUACUUUGAAAAAAUUAGAGUGUUUAAAGCAGGCGCACGCUUGAAUACAUUAGCAUGGAAUAAUGAAAUAGGACGUUUGAUUCUAUUUUGUUGGUUUCUAGGAUCGACGUAAUGAUUAAUAGGGAUAGUUGGGGGCAUUAGUAUUCAAUUGUCAGAGGUGAAAUUCUUGGAUUUAUUGAAGACUAACUACUGCGAAAGCAUUUGCCAAGGAUGUUUUCAUUAAUCAAGAACGAAAGUUAGGGGAUCGAGGACGAUCAGAUACCGUCGUAGUCUUAACCAUAAACUAUGCCGACUAGGGAUCGGAUGAUGUUAAUUUUAUAAUGACUCAUUCGGCGCCUUACGGGAAAC